UAGCCCCAGCCCCGGGAGUCCCAGGUGUUCCCAUUCUGUGAUCAGCACAGAACACAGAAACCUCACCAUGGAGUUUGUUCUGGGCUGGGUUUUCCUGGUUGCUCUUUUAAAAGGUGUCCUGUGUGACGUGGAGCUGGUGGAGUCUGGAGGAGACCUGGUGAAGCCUAGAGGGUCCCUGAGACUCACCUGUGUAGCCUCUGGAUUCACCUUCAGUAGCUAUGCAAUGAGCUGGGUCCGCCAGGCUCCAGGGAAGGGGCUGCAGUGGGUCGCAUAUAUUAGUAAUAGUGGAGGUAGCACAUACUACGCAGACUCCAUGAAGGGCCGACUCACCAUCUCCAGAGACAACUCCAAGAACACGCUGUAUCUGCAGAUGAACAACCUGAAGACUGAGGACACGGCCAUAUAUUACUGUGUGAGAUACACAGUGAGGGAGCAGGUGCAGUUGGAUAGAGGCAGGUUUCCUGUCAGGGUCUGGGGUUUCCUCUCAACACAGCAGUUCCUGGACACAGGAUUCUGUGCUUACCUAUUAACUUUCUGA
Molecule: non-coding RNA, 538 nt
Organism: Acinonyx jubatus (cheetah)
Lineage: Eukaryota; Metazoa; Chordata; Mammalia; Carnivora; Felidae
Source: the annotation of a RefSeq genome assembly